Molecule: transfer RNA, 67 nt
Filed under: Perlomyia levanidovae
Lineage: Eukaryota; Metazoa; Arthropoda; Insecta; Plecoptera; Leuctridae
Description: tRNA-Glu
Rfam family: tRNA
About the family: Transfer RNA (tRNA) molecules are approximately 80 nucleotides in length.
Source: RNAcentral
AUUUAUAUAGUUUAAAUAAAACAUUACAUUUUCACUGUAAAAAUAAAAAUUAUAUUUUUUAUGAAUA